GGGGAAGGGUAGCUUGCUACCUGACCUAGCGGCGGACGGGUGAGUAAUGCUUAGGAAUCUGCCUAUUAGUGGGGGACAACAUUCCGAAAGGAAUGCUAAUACCGCAUACGCCCUACGGGGGAAAGCAGGGGAUCUUCGAACCUUGCGCUAAUAGAUGAGCCUAAGUCAGAUUAGCUAGUUGGUGGGGUAAAGGCCUACCAAGGCGACGAUCUGUAGCGGGUCUGAGAGGAUGAUCCGCCACACUGGGACUGAGACACGGCCCAGACUCCUACGGGAGGCAGCAGUGGGGAAUAUUGGACAAUGGGCGAAAGCCUGAUCCAGCCAUGCCGCGUGUGUGAAGAAGGCCUUUUGGUUGUAAAGCACUUUAAGCGAGGAGGAGGCUACUGAGAUUAAUACUCUUGGAUAGUGGACGUUACUCGCAGAAUAAGCACCGGCUAACUCUGUGCCAGCAGCCCGCGGUAAUACAGAGGGUGCGAGCGUUAAUCGGAUUUACUGGGCGU
This 500-nucleotide ribosomal RNA is filed under the name uncultured bacterium. Its description in RNAcentral is "bacterial SSU rRNA". It matches the Rfam family "Bacterial small subunit ribosomal RNA", at positions 68 to 561 of the family's 1533-position model. The record is from RNAcentral.